GCUGGGCAAGGUGACGCAUGCCUGUAAUCCCAGCAACUUGGGAGGCUGAGGCAGGAGGAUGGCAAGUUCCAGACCAGCCUCAGCAACUUAGUGAGACUCUGUCUCAA
This 107-nucleotide small RNA is filed under the name Marmota monax (woodchuck). The record is from RNAcentral. Lineage: Eukaryota; Metazoa; Chordata; Mammalia; Rodentia; Sciuridae.